Molecule: long non-coding RNA, 212 nt
Filed under: Lathyrus oleraceus (garden pea)
Lineage: Eukaryota; Viridiplantae; Streptophyta; Magnoliopsida; Fabales; Fabaceae
Description: Pisum sativum (pea) long non-coding RNA (PSAT_LNC022508)
Source: RNAcentral
UUAAGGUAGGAUAAUUUGGGAGAAUAGGCUUAAACCUUUGGAGUUAGGUGCCUAGGUUUCCUUAUGUUAGCAAUUUCCUUUUCAUAAAACUAUUUCUUUAUUCUAUUGGUACUAGAGAUGAUCUUUUCCAUUCUUAUUCUUUUUCUUUUUUCUUUUUUUUAAGAAGUUAUUUUAACUUCUUUAUUUCUUUUUCAUAAUUUUUUUUAUUUUUG